RNAcentral lists this ribosomal RNA (468 nucleotides) under uncultured bacterium. RNAcentral's name for it is "partial 16S ribosomal RNA". It matches the Rfam family "Bacterial small subunit ribosomal RNA", at positions 28 to 507 of the family's 1533-position model. The record is from RNAcentral.
GACGAACGCUGGCGGCGUGCUUAACACAUGCAAGUCGAACGGAAAGGCCCUGCUUUUGUGGGGUUCUCGAGUGGCGAACGGGUGAGUAACACGUGAGUAACCUGCCCUUGACUUUGGGAUAACUUCACGAAACUGGGGCUAAUAUCGGAUAGGAGCUCCUGCUCCAUGGUGGGCGUUGGAAAGUUUCGGCGGUUGGGGAUGGACUCGCGGCUUAUCAGCUUGUUGGUGGGGUAGUGGCUUACCAAGGCUUUGACGGGUAGCCGGCCUGGGAGGGUGACCGGCCACAUUGGGACUAAGAGACGGACCAGACUCCUACGGGAGGCAGCAGUGGGGAGUAUUGCACAAUGGGCGGGAGCCUGAUGCAGCAGCGCCGCGUGCGGGAUGACGGCCUUCGGGUUAUGAACCGCUUUCGCCUGUGACGAAGCGUGAGUGACGGUAAUGGGUAAAGAAGCACCGGCUAACUACGUG